GACCUCAAAUCAGGUAGGACUACCCGCUGAACUUAAGCAUAUCAAUAAGCGGAGGAAAGGAAACUAACAAGGAUUCCCCUAGUAACUGCGAGUGAAGAGGGAAAAGCUCAAAUUUAAAAUCUGUCAGUCUUUGGCUGACCGAGUUGUAAAUUAGAGAAGUGCUAUCUGCGCUGGCCUGUGCAAAAGUCUCUUGGAAAAGAGCAUCAUAGAGGGUGACAAUCCCGUCUUUGGUACAGAGCUCCAGGGCUUCAUGAUGUGCUCUCAAUGAGUCGAGUUGUUUGGGAAUGCAGCUCUAAAUGGGUGGUAAAUUCCAUCUAAAGCUAAAUAUUGGCGAGAAACCGAUAGCGCACAAGUACCGUGAGGGAAAGAUGAAAAGAACUUUGAAAAGAGAGUUAAACAGUACGUGAAAUUGUUGAAAGGGAAACGCUUGAAGUCAG
Molecule: ribosomal RNA, 437 nt
Filed under: uncultured fungus
Lineage: Eukaryota; Fungi
Description: eukaryotic LSU rRNA
Rfam family: Eukaryotic large subunit ribosomal RNA
Source: RNAcentral